CGCCCGCCGCGCGCGGCGGGCGGGGCGGGGGCACGGGGGGCGUACGGGAGGCAGCAGUGGGGAAUCUUGCGCAAUGGGCGAAAGCCUGACGCAGCCAUGCCGCGUGAAUGAUGAAGGUCUUAGGAUUGUAAAAUUCUUUCACCGAGGACGAUAAUGACGGUACUCGGAGAAGAAGCCCCGGCUAACUUCGUGCCAGCAGCCGCGGUAAUACGAAGGGGGCUAGCGUUGCUCGGAAUUACUGGGCGUAAAGGGAGCGUAGGCGGAUAGUUUAGUCAGAGGUGAAAGCCCAGGGCUCAACCUUGGAAUUGCCUUUGAUACUGGCUAUCUUGAGUACGGAAGAGGUAUGUGGAACUCCGAGUGUAGAGGUGAAAUUCGUAGAUAUUCGGAAGAACACCAGUGGCGAAGGCGACAUACUGGUCCGUUACUGACGCUGAGGCUCGAAAGCGUGGGGAGCAAACAGGAUUAGAUACCCUGGUAGUCCACGCUGUAAACGAUGAGUGCUAGUUGUCGGCAUGCAUGCAUGUCGGUGACGCAGCUAACGCAUUAAGCACUCCGCCUGGGGAGUACGGUCGCAAGAUUAAAACUCGAAGGAAUUGACGGGG
This 602-nucleotide ribosomal RNA is filed under the name uncultured bacterium. RNAcentral describes it as "bacterial SSU rRNA". It matches the Rfam family "Bacterial small subunit ribosomal RNA", at positions 70 to 918 of the family's 1533-position model. The record is from RNAcentral.